AAACGUGUGACCAUCAUGCCGAAGGA
RNAcentral lists this non-coding RNA (26 nucleotides) under Bombyx mori (domestic silkworm). Lineage: Eukaryota; Metazoa; Arthropoda; Insecta; Lepidoptera; Bombycidae. The record is from RNAcentral.